Long non-coding RNA from Passer domesticus (house sparrow), 1195 nucleotides. RefSeq lists it as uncharacterized. The record is from RefSeq and is a predicted model, not a curated record. NCBI's taxonomy places the organism in Eukaryota, Metazoa, Chordata, Aves, Passeriformes, Passeridae. The transcript has 4 exons.
AAAAGGGUGGGCUAGCCAGGUGAGAGAUGCUUGGAGUCUGCUGGCUGUGAGGAGCUGCCCGUGAGAAAUUACAGAGAAGUUAUGAAAGUUUUACAGUAAGACAAGAAUGACCUCACCAGAUAUGGAACCAAAACUUCCUAUAUGAGGACACUGGGCUGCUUUACUAGCUAAGAACCUAUCUCCUGUGAGGCUAUACAUGAUGAAAACUCCUCUGAUGAAAGUAAGGGUCUUAAACCUCACAAAGAGGAGGUAUAGGUAUCAGCAAAGGGAACAGCUGAAUUUAAAUGAUGAAAAUCUACAUCAAAUAAUUCAAGAAGAUGUAAGGUGAACUGGGACAGUACAUGACAACGGGCUUGAAAAGCACUUCAAAAGGCUUUAUAGAUAGUAGAUCUUUUAUCCAAUAGCUGGUUGUUUUAAAUCAGUAUCUGGAAAGUAACGUUUGCAUGUUCUUAAAAAAAACCAAAACUUUCUUUCCCAAGCAUUUGACUUGGUUUCUAAUAUAUCAGUACUCUGCUUCCCUGCUUCUUUUUCUGCAGGAGUAUUGUGUUUAUAAAGGGGUUGGGUUUACAUAAAAAAAAAAAAAUAGGAGUUACACUUUCUACCCAUGAAAUUUUAUCCUAUGUUAAAUCAAUCUUUGAUGAUCACACCUACCACUUCUGAGGAGAUAUACAUACAACUUAUUCUGCAUAAAUUUCAAGGUUUCAGUGUGCAGUUCUCUAAUAUAAAACAAAUCAGGAUCUUUUUCACCUGUCUUGGUCUUGAUGACAUAGUACUUCUGAGCUCCAAAUUCAUUCAAAUUCUCAACUCAGAGUAAUUGUUCAUUGGCUCAUACUGCUGAACACCAUCAAAAUGGAAACUACUCCUUCCUUUUGGUGAUGGAUUCUGGAUGAAUUUACAAAUUCUUUGCAAAAAGCAUUUGAUUUGCAUCCAGGUAGAAUCCUGAGUAGUACCUGUUGGAUUCUGAGGCUGAUUUGCUGUUUAUCCACUACAACAUUUUGAUUGUGGUCAUUUUCAUGAUGUUUCAAUUAAAUCAUAAUUGAUUUUAUCUUAGUUCCUUAACUAGUCUACAAAAUACUUGUAUACUUAUUUUAAGAGUUUAUUAAUAAUUGCUUAAGUUUUUCUAUUUGAAAAUACAAAAAAACCCAAACAACAAAAAACCCACACACAACAUUCACUCCCCCCACCCCCCCAAAAA